RNAcentral lists this long non-coding RNA (702 nucleotides) under Carassius auratus (goldfish). RNAcentral describes it as "lncRNA (ENSCARG00000030667.1)". The record is from RNAcentral. Lineage: Eukaryota; Metazoa; Chordata; Actinopteri; Cypriniformes; Cyprinidae.
AUUUUCUUUGCCUCUUCUUCACUAAAUUCUUGAAGAACAUACUUUCUUUUCAGUUGACUGGGGAAGUACAGUUUGGAUAAUACAUUUCUGAAAAACUUAUUUGUUAAUUGUUUGCUCUUUAAAUUUUUACCUUCAGUACAUGAUGGAUAGCAUAGGUGUAACUUAGUUUUUGGUGGCUUGUGGUAAAAUAAUGUAGUAAAUAAUGAAAGGACACGAUUGUUUUGUAUGUGUAUGCCUUUAGCAUUUGUUAUAUAAUGUUAAAAAGGUCAUAUGAGGUGGUUGUUUUCAUAUUUAAAUUUUUCAUUCACUUCCAGGGAUAGGAUUGGCAUGGAAGAUGCAGCACUCUUUACAUUUUAAAUUUAUGUUGCCACCCUAGAAGUCAAAGUCUUUUUACAUGUGACAUUAACAUGUACAUAUUUAUUUUUUCUAUUUUGUUUGUUCUGUUAUUCUAUUGUUUUACUUUUUGUUUCAGAUCAAAUGUAUAUCAAGUGUUAUCCAUCCUCAUAACACCUCCACAAAUAGAGACUGGAACUUCUGAGCACCAUCACCAUCUGCUAUGGGACUGUCAUAGCCCAGCAAUCAGAUGCAUCAGAACAACAAAGCACAACUGUGGUGGCCCAGGCACCUUCAGCAACAAAGAUUUAACAACACUGUCAGUCAGGAGCAUAUUUAACAGGAGCCACACUCAACUGGCUUGAUGGU